Molecule: non-coding RNA, 72 nt
Organism: Phrynosoma platyrhinos (Desert horned lizard)
Lineage: Eukaryota; Metazoa; Chordata; Lepidosauria; Squamata; Phrynosomatidae
Source: the annotation of a GenBank genome assembly
GAGGUUGUAGCUCAGUGGUAGAGCUCAUGUUUGGUAUGCACAAGGUCCUAGAUUCAAUCCCUGUCAUCUCCA